GAUGAACGCUGGCGGCGUGCCUAAUACAUGCAAGUCGAGCGAACGGACGAGAAGCUUGCUUCUCUGAUGUUAGCGGCGGACGGGUGAGUAACACGUGGAUAACCUACCUAUAAGACUGGGAUAACUUCGGGAAACCGGAGCUAAUACCGGAUAAUAUUUUGAACAGCAUGGUUCAUAAGUGAAAGACGGUAUUGCUGUCAAUUUUAGAUGGAUCCGCGCUGCAUUAGCUAGUUGGUAAGGUAACGGCGUACAAAGGCAACGAUGCAUAGCCGACCUGAGAGGGUGAUCGGCCACACUGGAACUGAGACACGGUCCAGACUCCUACGGGGGGCAGCAGUAGGAAAUCUUCCGCAAUGGGCGAAAGCCUGACGGAGCAACGCCGCGUGAGUGAUGAAGGUCUUCGGAUCGUAAAACUCUGUUAUUAGGGAAGAACAUAUGUGUAAGUAACUGUGCACAUCUUGACGGUACCUAAUCAGAAAGCCACGGCUAACUACGUG
This 497-nucleotide ribosomal RNA is filed under the name uncultured bacterium. RNAcentral's name for it is "partial 16S ribosomal RNA". It matches the Rfam family "Bacterial small subunit ribosomal RNA", at positions 28 to 507 of the family's 1533-position model. The record is from RNAcentral.